Molecule: ribosomal RNA, 473 nt
Filed under: uncultured bacterium
Lineage: Bacteria
Description: SSU rRNA
Rfam family: Bacterial small subunit ribosomal RNA
Source: RNAcentral
AGGACGAACGCUGGCGGCGUGCUUAACACAUGCAAGUCGAGCGGAAAGGCCCUUCGGGGUACUCGAGCGGCGAACGGGUGAGUAACACGUGAGCAAUCUGCCUUUAGCUCUGGGAUAGCUCCGGGAAACCGGGAUUAAUACCGGAUAAGACCACUUUAGACAUCUGUUGUGGUGGAAAGAAUUUCGGCUAGAGAUGAGCUCGCGGCCUAUCAGCUUGUUGGUGGGGUAACGGCCCACCAAGGCGACGACGGGUAGCCGGCCUGAGAGGGCGACCGGCCACACUGGGACUGAGACACGGCCCAGACUCCUACGGGAGGCAGCAGUGGGGAAUAUUGCGCAAUGGGCGAAAGCCUGACGCAGCGACGCCGCGUGGGGGAUGAAGGCCUUCGGGUUGUAAACCCCUUUCAGCAGGGACGAAGCGAAGUGACGGUACCUGCAGAAGAAGCGCCGGCUAACUACGUGCCAGCAGCCGC